GACGAACGCUGGCGGCGUGCGUAACACAUGCAAGUCGAACGAGAGAGUGAGAGAAGCUUGCUUUUCUUACGAUCGAGUGGCAAACGGGUGAGUAACGCGUAAACAACCUGCCCCGCAGAUGGGGACAACAGCUGGAAACGGCUGCUAAUACCGAAUACGGUCCUCUUAGCGCAUGGUAAGAGGAAGAAAGGGUGGCCUCUGGAACAAGCUACCGCUGCGGGAGGGGUUUGCGUCUGAUUAGCUGGUUGGAGGGGUAACGGCCCACCAAGGCGACGAUCAGUAGCCGGUCUAAGAGGAUGAACGGCCACAUUGGAAACUGAGACACGGUCCAGACUCCUACGGGGAGGCAAGCAGUGGGGAAUCUUUCCCGCAAAUGGAUCGAAAAGCCCGGACGGAGCAAACCGCCCGCGUGAAGUGAAAGACGGCCUUUCCGGGUUGUAAAAGCUUCUAUUAUUAGGGGCCGG
Molecule: ribosomal RNA, 464 nt
Filed under: Megasphaera geminata
Lineage: Bacteria; Bacillati; Bacillota; Negativicutes; Veillonellales; Veillonellaceae
Description: bacterial SSU rRNA
Rfam family: Bacterial small subunit ribosomal RNA
Source: RNAcentral